GGAAAAAUGGGGGGCAGGCUAACACAUGCAAGUCGAGCGGAAACGAGUUAACUGAACCUUCGGGGAACGUUAACGGCGUCGAGCGGCGGACGGGUGAGUAAUGCCUGGGAAAUUGCCCUGAUGUGGGGGAUAACCAUUGGAAACGAUGGCUAAUACCGCAUAAUAGCCCGGUUCUUCGGAAUGGGUCUCAAAGAGGGGGACCUUUUAGGCCUCUCGCGUCAGGAUAUGCCCAGGUGGGAUUAGCUAGUUGGUGAGGUAAUGGCUCACCAAGGCGACGAUCCCUAGCUGGUCUGAGAGGAUGAUCAGCCACACUGGAACUGAGACACGGUCCAGACUCCUACGGGAGGCAGCAGUGGGGAAUAUUGCACAAUGGGCGCAAGCCUGAUGCAGCCAUGCCGCGUGUAUGAAGAAGGCCUUCGGGUUGUAAAGUACUUUCAGCAGUGAGGAAGGUGGGUAUGUUAAUAGCAUACACAUUUGACGUUAGCUGCAGAAGAAGCACCGGCUAACUCCGUGCCAGCAGCCGCGGUAAUACGGAGGGUGCGAGCGUUAAUCGGAAUUACUGGGCGUAAAGCGCAUGCAGGUGGUUUGUUAAGUCAGAUGUGAAAGCCCGGGGCUCAACCUCGGAAUUGCAUUUGAAACUGGCAAACUAGAGUACUGUAGAGGGGGGUAGAAUUUCAGGUGUAGCGGUGAAAUGCGUAGAGAUCUGAGGGAAUACGGGUGGCGAAGGCGGCCCCCAUGGACAGAUACUGACACUCAGAAGCCAAAAGCUUGGGGGAGCAAAACAGGGAUUAGAUACCUCUGGCUAGUCCCACGCCCGUAAAACGAUCGUCUCACCUGGGAGGGCUGUUGUCCUUUGAAGCCGUUG
RNAcentral lists this ribosomal RNA (865 nucleotides) under uncultured bacterium. Its description in RNAcentral is "bacterial SSU rRNA". It matches the Rfam family "Bacterial small subunit ribosomal RNA", at positions 26 to 857 of the family's 1533-position model. The record is from RNAcentral.